AAGGAGUCUAACAUAUGUGCAAGUUAUUGGGAGAUAAAACUAAUAGCGUAAUUAACUUGACUAAUAAUGGUAUUAGUUUUUUUACUAUUUAUAGAUAAUUUACACAAUCCUGGGGCGUUCUAUAUAGUUAUGUAUAAUAAUAUUUAUAGUAUUUAUGCCUCUAACUGGAACGUACCUUGACCCGAAAGAUGGUGAACUAUACUUGUUCAGGUUGAAGUCAGGGGAAACCCUGAUGGAAGACCGAAACAGUUCUGACGUGCAAAUCGAUUGUCAGAAUUGAGUAUAGGGGCGAAAGACCAAUCGAACCAUCUAGUAGCUGGUUCCUUUCGAAGUUUCCCUCAGGAUAGCUGGUGCAUUUUAAUGUUAUAUAAAAUAAUCUUAUCUGGUAAAGCGAAUGAUUAGAGGCCUUAGGGUCGAAACGAUCUUAACCUAUUCUCAAACUUUAAAUGGGUAAGAACCUUAACUUUCUCGAUAUGAAGUUUAAGGUUAUGAUAUAAU
RNAcentral lists this non-coding RNA (498 nucleotides) under Drosophila persimilis. Its description in RNAcentral is "Eukaryotic large subunit ribosomal RNA". It matches the Rfam family "Eukaryotic large subunit ribosomal RNA", at positions 668 to 1118 of the family's 3401-position model. The record is from Rfam by way of RNAcentral. Lineage: Eukaryota; Metazoa; Arthropoda; Insecta; Diptera; Drosophilidae.